GGGGGCGCUACACUGGCAGUCGAACGGGGAUAUGCUGGAAAGGCUUCGGCCGAGGAAGGCAUAUUCGAGUGGCGGACGGGUGAGUAACGCGUGAGCAACCUGCCUUUCAGAGGGGGAUAACGAUUGGAAACGAUCGCUAAUACCGCAUAACAUUGCAGAGCCGCAUGGUUUUGCAAUCAAAGGAGCAAUCCGCUGAGAGAUGGGCUCGCGUCCAAUUAGGUAGAUGGCGGGGUAGAGGCCCACCAUGCCGACGAUUGGUAGCCGGACUGAGAGGUUGAACGGCCACAUUGGGACUGAGACACGGCCCAGACUCCUACGGGAGGCAGCAGUGGGGAAUAUUGGGCAAUGGGGGGAACCCUGACCCAGCGACGCCGCGUGAGGGAAGAAGGUUUUCGGAUUGUAAACCUCUGUCCUUGGUGACGAUAAUGACGGUAGCCAAGGAGGAAGCCACGGCUAACUACGUGCCAGCAGCCGCGGUAAUACGUAGGUGGCGAGCGUUGUCCGGAAUUACUGGGUGUAAAGGGAGCGUAGGCGGGAGAGCAAGUCGACUGUGAAAUCUAUGGGCUUAACCCAUAGCUGCGAUCGAAACUGUUCAUCUUGAGUGAAGUAGAGGCAGGCGGAAUUCCUAGUGUAGCGGUGAAAUGCGUAAAUAUUAGGAGGAACACCAGUGGCGAAGGCGGCCUGCUGGGCUUUAACUGACGCUGAGGCUCGAAAGCGUGGGUAGCAAACAGGAUUAGAUACCCUGGUAGUCCACGCUGUAAACGAUGAUUACUAGGUGUGGGGGGACUGACCCCUUCCGUGCCGGAGUUAACACAAUAAGUAAUCCACCUGGGGAGUACGGCCGCAAGGC
This 850-nucleotide ribosomal RNA is filed under the name uncultured bacterium. Its description in RNAcentral is "bacterial SSU rRNA". It matches the Rfam family "Bacterial small subunit ribosomal RNA", at positions 42 to 894 of the family's 1533-position model. The record is from RNAcentral.